RNAcentral lists this ribosomal RNA (279 nucleotides) under Amblyomma variegatum (tropical bont tick). RNAcentral's name for it is "partial large subunit ribosomal RNA". The record is from RNAcentral. Lineage: Eukaryota; Metazoa; Arthropoda; Arachnida; Ixodida; Ixodidae.
ACAAAGGUAUUGAAAUAAGACUUUAAUUGAGUGCUAAGAGAAUGGAUUAACGGUAAAAUUCUUUUUUAAUUUCAAAAAUUGAAGUUAUUUUUGUUAGUGAAGAAACUACAAUAAAAAUUAAGGACAAGAAGACCCUAAGAAUUUUAAAUAAUUUAAAAAAAAAUUUUUUUUUAAAUUAUUUUAAUUGGGGCGAUUAAUAAAAAUAAGAAACUUUAUUUCUCCAAAAAAAUGAACCAUUAAUAAUGGCCAUAUGAAAAAAAUACUCUAGGGAUAACAGCG